RNAcentral lists this transfer RNA (84 nucleotides) under Bacteroidota bacterium. RNAcentral's name for it is "tRNA-Leu". It matches the Rfam family "tRNA". Rfam says of the family: Transfer RNA (tRNA) molecules are approximately 80 nucleotides in length. Their secondary structure includes four short double-helical elements and three loops (D, anti-codon, and T loops). Further hydrogen bonds mediate the characteristic L-shaped molecular structure. tRNAs have two regions of fundamental functional importance: the anti-codon, which is responsible for specific mRNA codon recognition, and the 3' end, to which the tRNAs corresponding amino acid is attached (by aminoacyl-tRNA synthetases). tRNAs cope with the degeneracy of the genetic code in two manners: having more than one tRNA (with a specific anti-codon) for a particular amino acid; and 'wobble' base-pairing, i.e. permitting non-standard base-pairing at the 3rd anti-codon position. The record is from RNAcentral. Lineage: Bacteria; Pseudomonadati; Bacteroidota.
GCCCGGGUGGCGGAAUAGGUAGACGCGUUGGUCUCAAAAACCAAUGAGCGAAAGCUCGUACCGGUUCGAUUCCGGUCUCGGGUA